UCCAGAAUCAACUAAUAAGAUUACUAAUUGCAUUUCAUCAACAGAAUUUUUUACCGGGUUAACAGGGAAUGCUGAUGUCUUAUGGAUUUCAUAGGAGAAGGGGGACAACAAAUAGUCUCAAGUAUUUGAGGAUCUGUGUCUUGAUUAAGAUUCUGUUGUGGUAAGUGCCUCCAUCAAUCACAGGGAGAUCAAGUCCUUGCCUGAAGAUGUGCAUAUAAAGAUGCCCCAUACGGUAGCACGCCUUGAAGGAGCUUGAUGGUAAUUUUAUAGGUGCCAAAUAUAUUAAUGUGAGUUCAGGUAGACCAGCAUGUUUCUGAAGUCUGAGGUAUUUCAAGAUAAAGCCUUCUAUUUAUUAAUUAUUUAAAUUGUUACUAUGAUUCUCCCAGGAAUAACUGCGAUGCAAAAACAAAGGACUUACCUGACUUUCAGAUUUGCGAUUUUCUGAACUUUGGAUAUUGUCCUUUAAUAUGUUGAGUAAGGUUGUCUAGGAGUUCUGUGUUAGGUGCUUUCAUCAAAGGAAUAAAAAAAUGAAGAUGAAUCCUUGCCACUAGUGCAGUUUACUUAGGAAUUUACUGAGGAUUUAUCCCUUAAUCUAAAGGUCAUAACAUUUUAAAUAACAUGUUUUUAAUAUUCAGAAUGGACCCAAUUUGCCUUCUAAGCAGCUGAUAACUUAGAAAUGCUGUUAGCCACAGAUACCCAUACAUUACCUUCCCUUGCCUUCCUUUCAUAGAAAUAAUGAAACUUGAACUUUACUGCAAAUAUGCUUUUGUCUUUUGUUCAAGCAAGAGAGUAAGAGUUGACUGUAAGCUUGCUCAUGUGUGCUGUUCCUGAGUUCACUGCUGUUUCUUUGCAGAUAUGGCAAACUGAGAAGAUAUGUUUAAAAUACUACCAAUUGUUUUUAUGUGUAAGAGGAAUCCCAUCCAUGAGGGAAUCUGAACUAGGAGGACAAGACAGGAGUUCUUGGCUGCACUCUUGUGCUAACAUCAUUAAGCUCUUGCAGUAAGAUUGUAUGAAGAUGCACCACCCAAGGAAUUCUAGAUAAAAUGUCACAAUUUGACACCAAAUACACAGUAUACAUAUACACAUCCAUUCCAUUUCACAGAGCAUCCACUCUGUCUCCAGGCACAGCUGCAGGACUCCUCAUAAAUAAAUAACCUCGUGUAAGACAGAUUAUGUUCCUCAGAUAUCAAUCACUGGUAAAUAUCAUGUUUCUACUUACAACGUAAGAAUACUAAAUGGAAACUCAUGAAGAUUUCAGAUUGCCAUUAUAUUUACAGUCCUGGGGCUUACUGCUGAGAAUUAUUGGAUGUCUUUACUUCUGAAUGUGGGCUGAAAGCUGCAGUGGGAUACUCAUUCCUAGCCUGCCUCUCAGAUUUUCAAUCAACGUUAAUCGUACUUCUUGAAGUCUUACCUCUAAAUCACGGUAAAUAUUGCAAAAGGAUUCCAAACUUUGUCAGAUGGGGUCAGUGAGGGAACAAAAGCCCAAGCUCAUCUUUUCCUGAUUCCAUAUCUGGAAAAUAUUUUGGACCAAAGUGUUCUUACUAUUGCAUGAUUACAGGGACUAGAUGUGGUGGAAGAGAUGGAGGGAGAAAUGUCAAAAAACCACCUGGAGCAUUGGAGUGCCUUCUAGUAUCUGCACAAUGAAAGGGCAGGUAUUUCACCCCCUUUCCUUUACUGGGCUAUCAGCUCUUUUUCUGUCAGUGGUAAAACAUUCCCCAGUUCCAGCUGCAAAUAAUACAUCUCUCCAUGUAAUGAUAUCACGAAGCAAGGUUGUUUUAUCCCUGAAUUCUUGCCAUCUUUCAGAGGCAGUGACUCUUAUUCUUUUGCAGUCUGUUUGAAUGCUGCACUCAUCAGCCACUGUUGUCCACUGGCCAAAAUAAAGGUGAGAGAUUGUUUAUAAAUUAAGGAAUUCUGUGUUGGAGACUAUCAGUGUUUUGAAUGAAGCCAUAGUUGGGUGUCCUGAGAAGACUCCAAUUCUUUUCAAUAUGAGUGUGGCUGCUGUUUCAUCCCUUAUUAAUUUUGACUUCUUUAUAAAUAAUCUCAGACAAGUUUCAAUAUUUAUUUCUCAUAUUGUGUUCUAUUCUGUUUAUUCUUACAGGGAAAAAUAUAGUUAGAAAUUCAGACUCCUCUCCCCUCCUCCAAUAUUUAGUAUAGCACAGAUUAGCUUGUGAUCAUUUUUAUUGAACUCUAAGGAUAAGAAAAAACUCAAAACUUGCUAAAUACUCUUUGUUUUUAAUUGUUGUUUUUAAUUAUUGUUUUUUAUUAGGGAAUAUAUAACG
Long non-coding RNA from Catharus ustulatus (Swainson's thrush), 2279 nucleotides. RefSeq lists it as uncharacterized. The record is from RefSeq and is a predicted model, not a curated record. The transcript is spliced from 3 exons. Lineage: Eukaryota; Metazoa; Chordata; Aves; Passeriformes; Turdidae.